This 84-nucleotide transfer RNA is filed under the name Planctomycetaceae bacterium. RNAcentral's name for it is "tRNA-Leu". It matches the Rfam family "tRNA". Rfam says of the family: Transfer RNA (tRNA) molecules are approximately 80 nucleotides in length. Their secondary structure includes four short double-helical elements and three loops (D, anti-codon, and T loops). Lineage: Bacteria; Pseudomonadati; Planctomycetota; Planctomycetia; Planctomycetales; Planctomycetaceae. The record is from RNAcentral.
GCGGGAGUGGUGGAAUUGGUAGACACGCCAGGUUGAGGGCCUGGUUGGGGCGACCCAGUGGAGGUUCGAGUCCUCUCUUCCGUA